Long non-coding RNA from Pseudopipra pipra, 1397 nucleotides. RefSeq lists it as uncharacterized. The transcript is spliced from 3 exons. Lineage: Eukaryota; Metazoa; Chordata; Aves; Passeriformes; Pipridae. The record is from RefSeq and is a predicted model, not a curated record.
GAAAGGAGAGAGUGGCUGGCUGAGGGAAACAGGAGAGCAUUUACUUCUCUUCUCUUGCUGUACCAGUCCAACCUGAGUGUCUGCACGAAGGAGUUUUGAGUUUUUCACUUUGUAGGAAUCAUCCAUGAACAAAACUGGGUAGAACUAAGCAGGACUGAACUAGUCCAGAAGGUGAGUUGCUUUGUUGUGCCACAAGAGUGUUUCUCUCCAGCUCCGGUUGAGCGUUCUGGCUUUACAGAGCUGAUAGCUACACAAACAAAAGAAAAGCUCAGUUUUCCUUGUGUUGCUUUUUGCCCUUUAUGCUCUAGAUUUUACAAGGAAUGUCAUUUUUUUGUGUGUUGAACCAAAAAAUUCCUAAGUGAACGAGCAGAUUAUUUGUUCCGCAAUGUGCACGUUAGUGAAAAAUGCAGAACAAUGGGUGUAGCCCAUUUCAUAGCUAUUAAGCUGUAUAGAUCAUGGGUGUAGCGACAGCUUCAACUUGCAUGGGUGCCUUUUUGGCGAAUACAAGGCUGCAAAAAGAAAUGGAACAACUCUACCAGUGUGUUGGAAGACAAGGCCCAGAUAAAUAGUGUUAUUAGCCAGUGGGGAGAGCAACUAAUGACCAGGUGGAGAGCAUCCGUUCCAGGUGCAGGAUCUGAGUAUAGAAACAGCACUGACCUUGCACACCCUGACUUUUACAGUAGAGUAUUUAAUAGGAAUGGAAUAUGCAGGUAAAUGAAAGCUAACUUAGUGAUGUCUGGCUAUAAUCCCUUUGUCACAACCGCCUUUGUAUCUAACACACUUACGAGGUGUGGACAUCAAAUUGUAAGUGCAAAAGGACUCUAAAUUGUCUCUCUUUAUUACCCUUCCAGGGAGAAAAUGGUGCUGAUGAAUGUAUAAAUCUGAAGAAGAGUGAGACAAUAAUAAAUGUUACAAGAGGAAUUUCUGAUAACAAGCAGUUUUUCUGAAUCCCACAUGUUCCAGACUGAAGUGAAAUGGCAGAAAAAAAGGCUCAAGGAGAGAAGUGGUGUGUCAUUCACUCAGCUGCCUCGCUUGGAGCAGAGCACAGCGAGACAAAACUAGAAGACCCUUGCUUAGGCAACUUCUUGCAAAGAUAUUCUUGCUCCAGGUCUAAGGUAUUUUUGCAACCAAGUUAUAAAUACAACAUGUUCAUCUUCUUCCAUCUAACAAGUUAAAAAAAACCCACACAGAGCAAGUUUAAACUUGGAUUUAAACUAGGAUUUAAACUUCCAGCUUUUACUGAAAUGGGUGGGUAAGCAUCUAUGUGCUUGUCAGCUGUGUCUAACUCUUAUAAAAUAAAAAUAUAAGAAUAUAAUAGAAAACCUGAGUGAGCUCCCUUGUGAGGAAGAGGGUGAAGCUACUGUUGUUGUACACAUACAAAUCAUUAUUUUCUGUGA